RNAcentral lists this ribosomal RNA (497 nucleotides) under uncultured bacterium. RNAcentral describes it as "partial 16S ribosomal RNA". It matches the Rfam family "Bacterial small subunit ribosomal RNA", at positions 28 to 507 of the family's 1533-position model. The record is from RNAcentral.
GACGAACGCUGGCGGCGUGCCUAAUACAUGCAAGUAGAACGCUGAAGAGAGGAGCUUGCUCUUCUUGGAUGAGUUGCGAACGGGUGAGUAACGCGUAGGUAACCUGCCUUGUAGCGGGGGAUAACUAUUGGAAACGAUAGCUAAUACCGCAUAACAAUGGAUGACACAUGUCAUUUAUUUGAAAGGGGCAAUUGUUCCACUACAAGAUGGACCUGCGUUGUAUUAGCUAGUAGGUGAGGUAAUGGCUCACCUAGGCGACGAUACAUAGCCGACCUGAGAGGGUGAUCGGCCACACUGGGACUGAGACACGGCCCAGACUCCUACGGGAGGCAGCAGUAGGGAAUCUUCGGCAAUGGGGGCAACCCUGACCGAGCAACGCCGCGUGAGUGAAGAAGGUUUUCGGAUCGGAAAGCUCUGUUGUAAGUCAAGAACGGGUGUGAGAGUGGAAAGUUCACACUGUGACGGUAGCUUACCAGAAAGGGACGGCUAACUACGUG